AGCGAACGCUGGCGGCAGGCCUAACACAUGCAAGUCGAACGAACCUUUCGGGGUUAGUGGCGGACGGGUGAGUAACACGUGGGAACGUGCCUUUAGGUUCGGAAUAACUCAGGGAAACUUGUGCUAAUACCGCAUGUGCCCUUCGGGGGUAAGAUUUAUCGCCUUUAGAGCGGCCCGCGUCUGAUUAGCUAGUUGGUUGAGGUAAUGGCUCACCAAGGCGACGAUCAGUAGCUGGUCUGAGAGGAUGAUCAGCCACAUUGGGACUGAGACACGGCCCAAACUCCUACGGGAGGCAGCAGUGGGGAAUCUUGCGCAAUGGGCGAAAGCCUGACGCAGCCAUGCCGCGUGAAUGAUGAAGGUCUUAGGAUUGUAAAAUUCUUUCACCGGGGACGAUAAUGACGGUACCCGGAGAAGAAGCCCCGGCUAACUUCGUG
RNAcentral lists this ribosomal RNA (434 nucleotides) under uncultured bacterium. RNAcentral describes it as "partial 16S ribosomal RNA". It matches the Rfam family "Bacterial small subunit ribosomal RNA", at positions 29 to 507 of the family's 1533-position model. The record is from RNAcentral.